CAAAGAAAUCAUUCCUAUUGGUAGCGUGCCUCAGAUCGUCCACUACGCAGCGGCAUGUAUGCUGGGAGUAACAUCGUCGACGCAGCACCGGCAACUUGGAGAGCGUCGUGCCAUUGAAAAGUGGUGAGGCCGUGACCCACAGCAGUGUCCACAUGAUGGCAGGGAACCUGUGGCCCUGGCUACAGCAGCACAGCGUGUAAUCUGGAUGUCACGUCAGGUGAACGAUCUUAUCUGGCCUGAAGUCCUAUGGCGGCAAUGCACGACCGCAUUGGGGAGGCUGAGGUUCAGGGCAAGAGCCUUUAUGGAAAGGGCAGUAACAGGCACAAGAAGGACCCAGUGAAGGAGGGAUUGGAUCCAGUUCAUCUGAAUGCUGUAAUUGGGCUGCGCAAGUGGACCCACACACACAGUGGCUAUACACGCACCUGGUCAUUCACAAACAUAUGCACACACUAGCAGGUCGUUCGAGAAUUUUGCCAUGCACCAUUCCUCUUCCCGUUAAGGCACUCCGCACGUCUGACCACCAGGGGACAGACUCUCGCUGCCUUCGUGUGCACAGCCAUAAAUAAUGGCGGCACCAUGCAUCUAACAUUGGUUGAAGUUCAGCAUCUGUUCGUUC
This is a long non-coding RNA of Dermacentor silvarum, 616 nucleotides long. RefSeq lists it as uncharacterized. Lineage: Eukaryota; Metazoa; Arthropoda; Arachnida; Ixodida; Ixodidae. The transcript has 4 exons. The record is from RefSeq and is a predicted model, not a curated record.